GGGGAUUAGCUCAGCUGGGAGAGCGCCUGCUUUGCACGCAGGAGGUCAGCGGUUCGAUCCCGCUAGUCUCCACCA
RNAcentral lists this transfer RNA (75 nucleotides) under Escherichia coli. Its description in RNAcentral is "tRNA-Ala". It matches the Rfam family "tRNA". From Rfam's summary of the family: Transfer RNA (tRNA) molecules are approximately 80 nucleotides in length. The record is from RNAcentral. Lineage: Bacteria; Pseudomonadati; Pseudomonadota; Gammaproteobacteria; Enterobacterales; Enterobacteriaceae. RNAcentral also lists the same sequence under 1 other name.